AAGAACUCCAAGUGUUUUUUAACCGCAAGAUUAAGGACUUUUCUCUCAUUUCAGGGUUGCUCAGACUUUGCAGCACCUUAGAAUUACCUGGUAAAAUUGGAAAGGACUGGUGUCUGGACCCCAGGCAGGAUCAGUUGUAUCUGUAGAUUAAGGGAAGGGGGUGUGGAAGGCAACAGCUCUUUGAAAUUUACCUAGGCGACAUAAAUAUGCAACUAAUUGUGACAGCCACAGCAUUAAGGUUGGAGAACAGCGAAUUCAUGGCAAUCAGUGAAGAAAGAACUGAUUAAAUUACUUUCUGGAUCACCUGGUGUGGACUCAAACCCAGGCAGGCACUCCUCCUCUGUGACCUCACUCAACUCUGACUCCCAGAACUCCAUAUCUGGCAGGAUGAGAAGUUAUCC
RNAcentral lists this long non-coding RNA (401 nucleotides) under Felis catus (domestic cat). RNAcentral describes it as "lncRNA (ENSFCAG00000049126.1)". Lineage: Eukaryota; Metazoa; Chordata; Mammalia; Carnivora; Felidae. The record is from RNAcentral.